GUCUGUGGCCAUACCACCCUGAACGCACCUGAUCUCGUCUCAUCUUGGAAGCUAAGCAGGGUCAGGCCUGGUUAGUACUUGGACGGUAGAUCCUAUGGGAACGGAUUGUUGAUGGGGAGG
Molecule: ribosomal RNA, 120 nt
Filed under: Octodon degus (degu)
Lineage: Eukaryota; Metazoa; Chordata; Mammalia; Rodentia; Octodontidae
Source: RNAcentral